Molecule: ribosomal RNA, 322 nt
Filed under: Pseudo-nitzschia fraudulenta
Lineage: Eukaryota; Bacillariophyta; Bacillariophyceae; Bacillariales; Bacillariaceae
Description: partial Bacterial small subunit ribosomal RNA
Rfam family: Bacterial small subunit ribosomal RNA
Source: RNAcentral
GAUGUUGGGUUAAGUCCCGCAACGAGCGCAAUCCUUAUCCUUAGUUGCCAGCACGUCUGGGUGGGCACUCUAAGGAAACUGCCGGUGCUAAGCCGGAGGAAGGUGGGGAUGACGUCAAGUCCUCAUGGCCCUUACACCCUGGGCUACACACGUGCUACAAUGGCAGUGACAAUGGGUUAAUCCCCAAAAACUGUCUCAGUUCGGAUUGUCCUCUGCAACUCGAGGGCAUGAAGUCGGAAUCGCUAGUAAUCGCGUAACAGCAUGACGCGGUGAAUACGUUCCCGGGCCUUGUACACACCGCCCGUCAAGCCAUGGAAGCCGG